RNAcentral lists this ribosomal RNA (1436 nucleotides) under Streptococcus salivarius. RNAcentral's name for it is "bacterial SSU rRNA". It matches the Rfam family "Bacterial small subunit ribosomal RNA". Lineage: Bacteria; Bacillati; Bacillota; Bacilli; Lactobacillales; Streptococcaceae. The record is from RNAcentral.
CCUAAUACAUGCAAGUAGAACGCUGAAGAGAGGAGCUUGCUCUUCUUGGAUGAGUUGCGAACGGGUGAGUAACGCGUAGGUAACCUGCCUUGUAGCGGGGGAUAACUAUUGGAAACGAUAGCUAAUACCGCAUAACAAUGGAUGACACAUGUCAUUUAUUUGAAAGGGGCAAUUGCUCCACUACAAGAUGGACCUGCGUUGUAUUAGCUAGUAGGUGAGGUAACGGCUCACCUAGGCGACGAUACAUAGCCGACCUGAGAGGGUGAUCGGCCACACUGGGACUGAGACACGGCCCAGACUCCUACGGGAGGCAGCAGUAGGGAAUCUUCGGCAAUGGGGGCAACCCUGACCGAGCAACGCCGCGUGAGUGAAGAAGGUUUUCGGAUCGUAAAGCUCUGUUGUAAGUCAAGAACGAGUGUGAGAGUGGAAAGUUCACACUGUGACGGUAGCUUACCAGAAAGGGACGGCUAACUACGUGCCAGCAGCCGCGGUAAUACGUAGGUCCCGAGCGUUGUCCGGAUUUAUUGGGCGUAAAGCGAGCGCAGGCGGUUUGAUAAGUCUGAAGUUAAAGGCUGUGGCUCAACCAUAGUUCGCUUUGGAAACUGUCAAACUUGAGUGCAGAAGGGGAGAGUGGAAUUCCAUGUGUAGCGGUGAAAUGCGUAGAUAUAUGGAGGAACACCGGUGGCGAAAGCGGCUCUCUGGUCUGUAACUGACGCUGAGGCUCGAAAGCGUGGGGAGCGAACAGGAUUAGAUACCCUGGUAGUCCACGCCGUAAACGAUGAGUGCUAGGUGUUGGAUCCUUUCCGGGAUUCAGUGCCGCAGCUAACGCAUUAAGCACUCCGCCUGGGGAGUACGACCGCAAGGUUGAAACUCAAAGGAAUUGACGGGGGCCCGCACAAGCGGUGGAGCAUGUGGUUUAAUUCGAAGCAACGCGAAGAACCUUACCAGGUCUUGACAUCCCGAUGCUAUUUCUAGAGAUAGAAAGUUACUUCGGUACAUCGGUGACAGGUGGUGCAUGGUUGUCGUCAGCUCGUGUCGUGAGAUGUUGGGUUAAGUCCCGCAACGAGCGCAACCCCUAUUGUUAGUUGCCAUCAUUCAGUUGGGCACUCUAGCGAGACUGCCGGUAAUAAACCGGAGGAAGGUGGGGAUGACGUCAAAUCAUCAUGCCCCUUAUGACCUGGGCUACACACGUGCUACAAUGGUUGGUACAACGAGUUGCGAGUCGGUGACGGCAAGCUAAUCUCUUAAAGCCAAUCUCAGUUCGGAUUGUAGGCUGCAACUCGCCUACAUGAAGUCGGAAUCGCUAGUAAUCGCGGAUCAGCACGCCGCGGUGAAUACGUUCCCGGGCCUUGUACACACCGCCCGUCACACCACGAGAGUUUGUAACACCCGAAGUCGGUGAGGUAACCUUUUGGAGCCAGCCGCCUAAGGUGGGA